Molecule: long non-coding RNA, 504 nt
Organism: Cyprinus carpio carpio
Lineage: Eukaryota; Metazoa; Chordata; Actinopteri; Cypriniformes; Cyprinidae
Source: Ensembl
GGAGAAUCGAUCGAUGAUUGUGAGUAUGACCGUGUUUCCUUGGGAUAGGGGUAAGUCUGUGAUGAAGUCUAUGGCAAGGUGUGACCAGGGUCGUUGUGGGAUAGGAAGAGGUUGAAGGAGUCCAGCUGGUAGUUGACGAGGGGUUUUGUGCAUGUUACACGUCUGACAGUUCUGAAUGAAUUUAAUAGUGUCGGGGUUGAUUGUUUCCCACCAGAAGCGGUUCUUGAGGAGAUGGAGUGUGGCUGUGAUGCCGGGGUGACCAGAGGCAGGAAGACAGUGGAUAUGAUCCAGGACUUGAUCACGGUAGGGGGCAGGGUCAUUAUAUCCCACUGGAUGGGAGCAACCACCACCUGGAAGGGCAAGAUGCGUUCGGGGGUUGAGAUGGAGGGGUCGUCAUCAUGGAUACGUGACAAAGCAUCGGCUUUAGUAUUCUUGGAACCUGGGCGAUAUGUGACAUUGAACUGAAACCGGGAGAAGAACAAGGACCAUCUGGCUUGGCGUGGG